AAACUCAAAUGAAUUGACGGGGACCCGCACAAGCGGUGGAGGAUGUGGUUUAAUUCGACGCAACGCGAAGAACCUUACCUAGGCUUGACAUGCUGGUGAAACCAUGGAAACAUGGUCUCCCGUAAGGGACAUCAGUACAGGUGGUGCAUGGCUGUCGUCAGCUCGUGUCGUGAGAUGUUGGGUUAAGUCCCGCAACGAGCGCAACCCUUAUCCCCAGUUGCCAUCAGGUAAAGCUGGGAACUCUGGGGAGACUGCCGGUGAUAAACCGGAGGAAGGCGGGGAUGACGUCAAGUCCUCAUGGCCCUUACAUCCCGGGCUACACACGUGCUACAAUGGCAGGUACAGAGGGCUGCGAAGCCGCGAGGUGGAGCGAAUCCCAGAAAACCUGUCUCAGUCCGGAUUGAAGUCUGCAACUCGACUUCAUGAAGGCGGAAUCGCUAGUAACCGCAAAUCAGCAGGUCGCGGUGAAUACGUUCCCGGGCCUU
This 485-nucleotide ribosomal RNA is filed under the name uncultured Latescibacterota bacterium. RNAcentral's name for it is "bacterial SSU rRNA". It matches the Rfam family "Bacterial small subunit ribosomal RNA", at positions 897 to 1382 of the family's 1533-position model. Lineage: Bacteria; Pseudomonadati; Candidatus Latescibacterota. The record is from RNAcentral.